Molecule: ribosomal RNA, 468 nt
Filed under: uncultured bacterium
Lineage: Bacteria
Description: partial 16S ribosomal RNA
Rfam family: Bacterial small subunit ribosomal RNA
Source: RNAcentral
GACGAACGCUGGCGGCGUGCUUAAUACAUGCAAGUCGAACGGAAAGGCGCUGCUUUUGUGGGGUGCUCGAGUGGCGAAGGGGGGAGUAAAACGUGAGUAAACUGUCCUUGACUUUGGGAUAAAUUCAGGAGAAUGGGGCGAAUAUAGGAUAGGAGCUCCUGCUGCAUGGUGGGGGUUGGAGAGAUUCGGCGGUUGUGGAUGGUAUCGAGGCUUAUGAGCUUGUUGGUGGGGUAGUGGCGUACCAGGGUUGUGACGGGUAGCCGGCCUUAGAGGGUGGCCGGCCACAUUGGGACUGCGAUACGGCCCAGACUCCUACGGGAGGCAGCAGUGGGGAAUAUGACACAGUGGGCGGAAGCCUGAGGCAGCAACGCCGCGUGCGGAAUAACGGCCUUCGAGUUGUAAACCGCUUUCGCCUUUGACAAAGCGUGAUUGACGGUAAUGGGUAAAAAAGCACCGGCUAACUACGUG